RNAcentral lists this ribosomal RNA (253 nucleotides) under uncultured bacterium. RNAcentral's name for it is "partial 16S ribosomal RNA". It matches the Rfam family "Bacterial small subunit ribosomal RNA", at positions 524 to 776 of the family's 1533-position model. RNAcentral also lists the same sequence under 1 other name. The record is from RNAcentral.
GACAGAGGGUGCAAACGUUGUUCGGAAUUACUGGGCGUAAAGCGAGUGUAGGCGGUUUCCUAAGUCGGAUGUGAAAGCCCCGGGCUCAACCCGGGAAGUGCAUUCGAAACUGGGAGGCUAGAGUGUCGGAGAGGUUGGUGGAAUUCUCGGUGUAGAGGUGAAAUUCGUAGAUAUCGAGAGGAACACCGGUGGCGAAGGCGGCCAACUGGACGAACACUGACGCUGAGACUCGAAAGCGUGGGGAGCAAACAGG